This 253-nucleotide ribosomal RNA is filed under the name uncultured bacterium. RNAcentral describes it as "partial 16S ribosomal RNA". It matches the Rfam family "Bacterial small subunit ribosomal RNA", at positions 524 to 776 of the family's 1533-position model. The record is from RNAcentral.
UACAGAGGUCUCAAGCGUUGUUCGGAUUCAUUGGGCGUAAAGGGUGCGUAGGUGGCGGGGCAAGUCUGGUGUGAAAUCCCGGGGCUCAACCCUGGAACUGCACUGGAUACUGCUUUGCUAGAGUACUGGAGAGGGAACUGGAAUUUACGGUGUAGCAGUGAAAUGCGUAGAUAUCGUAAGGAAGACCAGUGGCGAAGGCGAGUUCCUGGACAGUUACUGACACUGAGGCACGAAGGCCAGGGGAGCAAACGGG